GACGAACGCUGGCGGCGUGCUUAACACAUGCAAGUCGAACGGUAAGGCCCUUCGGGGUACACGAGUGGCGAACGGGUGAGUAACACGUGGGUGAUCUGCCCUGCACUUCGGGAUAAGCCUGGGAAACUGGGUCUAAUACCGGAUAGGACUCCUGGCUUCAUGGUUGGGGGUGGAAAGCUUUUGCGGGGUGGGAUGGGCCCGCGGCCUAUCAGCUUGUUGGUGGGGUAAUGGCCUACCAAGGCGACGACGGGUAGCCGGCCUGAGAGGGUGACCGGUCACACUGGUACUGAGAUACGGCCCAGACUCCUACGGGAGGCAGCAGUGGGGAAUAUUGCACAAUGGGCGCAAGCCUGAUGCAGCGACGCCGCGUGAGGGAUGACGGCCUUCGGGUUGUAAACCUCUUUCAGCACCGACGAAGCGCAAGUGACGGUAGGUGCAGAAGAAGGACCGGCCAACUACGUGCCAGCAGCAGCCGCCG
This 478-nucleotide ribosomal RNA is filed under the name uncultured bacterium. RNAcentral's name for it is "partial 16S ribosomal RNA". It matches the Rfam family "Bacterial small subunit ribosomal RNA", at positions 28 to 523 of the family's 1533-position model. The record is from RNAcentral.